RNAcentral lists this ribosomal RNA (425 nucleotides) under uncultured bacterium. Its description in RNAcentral is "partial 16S ribosomal RNA". It matches the Rfam family "Bacterial small subunit ribosomal RNA", at positions 354 to 796 of the family's 1533-position model. The record is from RNAcentral.
GUGGGGAAUCUUGCGCAAUGGGCGAAAGCCUGACGCAGCCAUGCCGCGUGAAUGAUGAAGGUCUUAGGAUUGUAAAAUUCUUUCACCGGGGACGAUAAUGACGGUACCCGGAGAAGAAGCCCCGGCUAACUUCGUGCCAGCAGCCGCGGUAAUACGAAGGGGGCUAGCGUUGCUCGGAAUUACUGGGCGUAAAGGGCGCGUAGGCGGACAGUUUAGUCAGAGGUGAAAGCCCAGGGCUCAACCUUGGAAUUGCCUUUGAUACUGGCUGUCUUGAGUACGGAAGAGGUGAGUGGAACUCCGGGUGUAGAGGUGAAAGUCGUAGAUAUUCGGAAGAACACCAGUGGCGAAGGCGACUCACUGGCCCGUUACUGACGCUGAGGCGCGAAAGCGUGGGGAGCAAACAGGAUUAGAUACCCUAGUAGUCC